AUACGGAGGAUCCGAGCGUUAUCCGGAUUUAUUGGGUUUAAAGGGUGCGCAGGCGGCCAUUUAAGUCAGCGGUUAAAUCGUGGGGCUCAACCCCAUUCUGCCGUUGAUACUGGGUGGCUUGAUUGCGAUCGAGGUUGGCGGAAUUCGUUGUGUAGCGGUGAAAUGCAUAGAUAUGACGAAGAACACCGAUUGCGUAGGCAGCCGACCAGACCGCAAAUGACGCUCAUGCACGAAAGUGCGGGGAUCGAACAGGAUUAGAUACCCUGGUAGUCCGCACAGUAAACGAUGAAUACUUGUUUUCGGCGAUAUAAUGUCGGAGGCAAAGCGAAAGCGAUAAGUAUUCCACCUGGGGAGUACGCCGGCAACGGUGAAACUCAAAUGAAUUGACGGG
RNAcentral lists this ribosomal RNA (391 nucleotides) under uncultured bacterium. RNAcentral's name for it is "partial 16S ribosomal RNA". It matches the Rfam family "Bacterial small subunit ribosomal RNA", at positions 523 to 917 of the family's 1533-position model. The record is from RNAcentral.